ACGGGUGAGUAACACGUAGGUAACCUGCCUAUGAGACUGGGAUAACUAUCGGAAACGAUAGCUAAGACCGGAUAACUGGUUUUCUCGCUUGAGAGAAUCAUGAAACACGGAGCAAUCUGUGGCUUAUAGAUGGGCCUGCGGCGCAUUAGCUAGUUGGUAGGGUAAUGGCCUACCAAGGCGACGAUGCGUAGCCGACCUGAGAGGGUGAACGGCCACACUGGGACUGAGACACGGCCCAGACUCCUACGGGAGGCAGCAGUAGGGAAUCUUCCGCAAUGGACGCAAGUCUGACGGAGCAACGCCGCGUGAGUGAUGAAGGUUUUCGGAUCGUAAAGCUCUGUUGCCCUAGACGAACAGCAUGAGGAGUAACUGCCUUGUGUGUGACGGUAUAGGAGAAGAAAGCCCCGGCUAACUACGUGCCAGCAGCCGCGGUAAUACGUAGGGGGCAAGCGUUGUCCGGAAUUAUUGGGCGUAAAGCGCGCGCAGGCGGUCAAUUAAGUUGGGUGUUUAAGCCCGGGGCUCAACCCCGGUUCGCAUCCAAAACUGGUUGACUUGAGUGUAGGAGAGGAAAGUGGAAUUCCACGUGUA
Molecule: ribosomal RNA, 588 nt
Filed under: uncultured bacterium
Lineage: Bacteria
Description: bacterial SSU rRNA
Rfam family: Bacterial small subunit ribosomal RNA
Source: RNAcentral